GAUGAACGCUGGCGGCGUGCCUAAUACAUGCAAGUCGAGCGAACAGACGAGGAGCUUGCUCCUCUGACGUUAGCGGCGGACGGGUGAGUAACACGUGGAUAACCUACCUAUAAGACUGGGAUAACUUCGGGAAACCGGAGCUAAUACCGGAUAAUAUAUUAAACCGCAUGGUUCAAUAGUGAAAGACGGUUUUGCUGUAACUUAUAGAUGGAUCCGCGCCGAAUUAGCUAGUUGGUAAGGUAACGGCUUACCAAGGCAACGAUGCGUAGCCGACCUGAGAGGGUGAUCGGCCACACUGGAACUGAGACACGGUCCAGACUCCUACGGGAGGCAGCAGUAGGGAAUCUUCCGCAAUGGGCGAAAGCCUGACGGAGCAACGCCGCGUGAGUGAUGAAGGUCUUCGGAUCGUAAAACUCUGUUAUUAGGGAAGAACAAAUGUGUAAGUAACUAUGCACGUCUUGACGGUACCUAAUCAGAAAGCCACGGCUAACUACGUG
RNAcentral lists this ribosomal RNA (497 nucleotides) under uncultured bacterium. Its description in RNAcentral is "partial 16S ribosomal RNA". It matches the Rfam family "Bacterial small subunit ribosomal RNA", at positions 28 to 507 of the family's 1533-position model. The record is from RNAcentral.